This is a non-coding RNA of Pelobates cultripes (western spadefoot toad), 222 nucleotides long. The record is from the annotation of a GenBank genome assembly. NCBI's taxonomy places the organism in Eukaryota, Metazoa, Chordata, Amphibia, Anura, Pelobatidae.
GGAUCCUGUAAAUCUGGUUCUCAGUAGUUCUUCUAGGGAAAUAGGACGUGUCAGGACUUCAACCUGUUUUGAGUUUAGUUGAGGUAUGACUAUAUUAUUAACCGUUUCCCCCCCCCCAAAAAAGCCCUACUUGAGAUUGUCGUUAGUUCGAUAAUCUAUGUUCAGGAAUUUUUACCCGUACUCGCGGGAUUCCAUGCCCUAGUGAACUGGUCUAUGUUCGUG